GUUUCAGAGAAUUUCACUCAGCUUAGGAGAAUGUGACCAAUGUCUGGGAUGAAAAGUUUAUAUUUUCAGCAUCACAAGUCAUUUCCACUAAUCUUACCAUCACAGGUUCUGCUUUUUAAACACUGACCCCAGGAGAAGCUCUGCAGCAUGAGAAGAAAGCUCUUCUGCUCUUUGUCCUUUGGAAUACAGAGAAAACCAGCUAGAGCCCCAAAAUGGCUUUUAUUUGCACCUACCUGCUGCCUCUCCAUCUCUUCCAGCUGAGAACUCAGGACACUGUAGCCCAGAGGAGGAAAACUCUGUAGAGGACACAGAACAGCCUAUGCAUAUCAUCAGCUUGAAGAAGAUACCAAAUGAUCCCAUUAUCAAGGUGAUAUAUACAUUAACACAAGUUUCAGCACUAUAGUCUUUCCUAUUUAAUAGCUAAGAAUAGAACAGAAGAUAAUUAUCUAAUUUGCU
Molecule: long non-coding RNA, 456 nt
Filed under: Zonotrichia albicollis (white-throated sparrow)
Lineage: Eukaryota; Metazoa; Chordata; Aves; Passeriformes; Passerellidae
Description: lncRNA (ENSZALG00000017218.1)
Source: RNAcentral